Tupaia belangeri chinensis (Chinese tree shrew) is the source of this 772-nucleotide long non-coding RNA. RefSeq lists it as uncharacterized. The record is from RefSeq and is a predicted model, not a curated record. The transcript has 4 exons. NCBI's taxonomy places the organism in Eukaryota, Metazoa, Chordata, Mammalia, Scandentia, Tupaiidae.
AACCUUCAGCCAGAGUUUGUUCCCUUUGAAGAAACUAAUAACCUUUGUGGAAUAACUGGAGGCUUUUAUCCUUGGGCGGCACCUCUUCCUUUGCAAUUGGAGGCUGUUUCUUCUCCCUUCUCCUGAUCAUAACUGCUAGUCUCAUUUUUUAAAAAAUGUAGAUCAUGAAGCCAUGUUGUCUCUACCUCCCCUUCUCCCUUUUAUCCUUUAUCUAGUAAUGCAGCAUAAUGCUUAAAAAACCGGAUAUCCGGGAUUCGCAGUCCCAGCCUGGCCGUUUAGAGCUCUGUAACUGGCAACUGAGCCUCUUCUUUCUGCCUUAGUUUCUUCAUCUGCACGGUGGAAGCAAUGCUACCGCUCACCUCAGGGGCUGGCCUGAGAAUGAAACCAGUUGUCUCUACACAAUGCUUGGCUUGUGGUCCAGUCAGUGGCAUAGUGGUUAAGGUGCUGGAUCCUACAUGUUCAACUGUGUGGUUCAAGUCCUGGACCCAGCUUGAUAAAUAUUCCAGAUAAUACUGCAAACAAAUGCCCAGACGGAUGCUGAAUAAUUUAUAAGAACAAGCUACUGAUGUGGAUUGGAGAGAAGAAAUAACAAAGAAGAAAUAAUGUUAUCGAGACUGAUGGAGUAAAAGGACAUAAGCAAAUGAGUGAGUGUUCAAGAUAGUAUUUAGAUUUUGGCUAUAAGCCAACAGGAAAUCUCUAUGGCUAUCAAUGGGCUUGGAGUCCAGAAGAGUCAAAAAUCUUAAGAGGAGCCUUUUUCUUUUCAGAAAGUCAU